UGCGGAGGGUGCAAGCGUUAUCCGGAUUUACUGGGUUUAAAGGGUGCGUAGGUGGGCCUGUAAGUCAGUGGUGAAAUCUUCAAGCUUAACUUGGAAACUGCCAUUGAUACUAUAGGUCUUGAAUUAUCUGGAGGUAAGCGGAAUAUGUCAUGUAGCGGUGAAAUGCUUAGAGAUGACAUAGAACACCCAUUGCGAAGGCAGCUUACUACGGAUUGAUUGACACUGAGGCACGAAAGCGUGGGGAUCAAACAGG
This 253-nucleotide ribosomal RNA is filed under the name uncultured bacterium. RNAcentral describes it as "partial 16S ribosomal RNA". It matches the Rfam family "Bacterial small subunit ribosomal RNA", at positions 524 to 776 of the family's 1533-position model. The record is from RNAcentral.